This is a long non-coding RNA of Cyprinus carpio (common carp), 424 nucleotides long. RefSeq lists it as uncharacterized. The transcript has 2 exons. The record is from RefSeq and is a predicted model, not a curated record. Lineage: Eukaryota; Metazoa; Chordata; Actinopteri; Cypriniformes; Cyprinidae.
AAUGCGGCAGAAGGCAGCUGGGAAUGAGGACGGGGCUCCGGUCCCAGCGUCGCCAUGUUCGCCCCGUCGGGAAAAAAAAGCUCGUCGAAAGGCUCUGCGAUCGGUAUAUCCCAAAGAAAAUAUGCUUGUCUCAACAGCGUGAAAGUCAAAUGGGUUCAAUGUUGUUUUGGACGUACAUAAGAAUGGGAUUCAGGCCUGUUUGAGCCUGAUGAAGAGUACCCCGGAGCAGCCCUGUCAUAUCCCACAAGAGAAAGAGACACAAAGAGACAGAGAAACAGUCUAUCUCUCCAACUGUGAAAUCUAACUAUUCAAGUCCACAUAGACUGGCAGAGUUCAGUUGCUCAAAAAAAGAGAGAAACAUUGAUCACUGUGGUUCACUCAAGGGCUCUUCAGGACAGACACAGUUCCCCACAGAUAAUCAUGG